Molecule: non-coding RNA, 1926 nt
Organism: Zootoca vivipara (common lizard)
Lineage: Eukaryota; Metazoa; Chordata; Lepidosauria; Squamata; Lacertidae
Source: RefSeq, a predicted model, not a curated record
CUAAAUUUGGGGCUUUCCUGCUGUGCUGUGCACUCGGCCUCUCCCGCUUCUCUGGAACCCUACGGAAACCCACCUUGGGAAGUCUUCUCCCCUGGCGAAAGUCCAAUCUCCUCUCGGCGAUUCCGGGCAAUGCGAAGGAGGGCGAGCCGGAUCCGCGCCUUGGGAUUUGCCUGGCGACCGCGCAGGCUGGAGCGUCAGCGCGGAGGGAACGCGGAGGACUCUGCAUAUCCUUAGGGCACCAGCGAAGCAGAGGCGCCGGAAAAGGAGAGGUUUCCUAAAUAGCCUAGAGCAUAAGAUGCUGAAAAGUAGCUCCGUGAACACCAAAUGUCAUUCAUAUACUGGCUGCAAGGAGGUUUCCUUGUCUUCAAAGGACUUGUUUGAUGACUUGAAUUGUAGCUCCUAAAACUGAACACAACAUGCCAAACGAGCUCCUUGUAGACGAGAUUGCAGGGUGGACUGUCUUGAUAUGCCGUGGGACCAUAUUCAUCCAGUGCUUUACCAGCUGCACUGGCUCCUGGUGGAGUACAGGAUCAGAUUUAAGGUGCUGGUUUUGACCUUUAAAGCCCUAUGCGGCCUAGGAUCCUCAUACGUAUGGGACCGCCUCUCCUGGUAUGCCCCGCGGAGGACCUUAAGGUCCACAAAUAACAACACGUUGGAGAUCCCGAGCCAUAAGUGCUCAACUAGGGCCAGGGCCUUUUCAGUAUUGGCCCCAACUUGGUGGAAUGCUCUCUCACAGGAGACUAGGGCCCUGCGGGAUUUGACAUCUUUCUGCAGGGCCUGCAAGACGGAGCUGUUCCACCAGACCUUUGGCCUGGACUCAGUCUGACCCCUAUGUUUUCCUCCCUUAUGGUUUUUGACUUGGGCCUUUUUAAAAAUGAGGCUGCAUUUAAAAUUUUAAAUGUAAAUUGUAUUUUAACCUGUAUUUUAACUAAUUGUUUUUCUUUCUUUAUGUCUUAUUGUAAUUUUACUGGUGUCAGCCGCCCUGAGCCCGGUUUCAACUGGGGAGGGCGGGGUAUAAAUAUAUUAUUAUUAUUAUUAUUAUUAUUAUUAUUAUUAUUAUUAUUCCUCUAUUGAUAUCUUCUGUCUAAUGCAACCUGUAUAAUAAUUCACAGAUCCAUCUUAUGCAUUUUGACUCUUUCUUCUGUGUAAUAUCCUACAUUUAUCACUGUCUGCACUUUAUUAAAACAUAUUUUAGUACCAUGUCAUCUGGGGGGGGAAACACCAGAACCCGUGGAAAUCACACAGUAUUCUCCAACAUCAUGUCCUAGGAUUGAUUCCGCAGUGACUCAGAAAUUCCCCUAUUGAGACUUACUGAUGUGAUUGUACUGCUAUAGGAUUGGUCAGUUUGGAUGAUAUCUGUGGGACCCUUCCAGGCUUCUGAUCCUGUAUUUGUCCAACAGGUAGAUCGCGAUCCACUGGUAGAUCACGGGGUAUCUGGCUCCUCAAAAAAGCUCAACAAUUUUGCUUCAUCCAAUGGGUAGAUCACUUCCAGUUUUUUAUACUGUGAGUAGAUCACAGUUUAUUGGGAGCUGGACGUCCCUGUAGUAGAAGAACCAGUCACACCUGUCUCUUUGUGAGAUAAUGGCCUUAGCUGGCUAGUUAAGCAUGGCCAUUUACCUGUCCAAAGACUGAGCCCUGUUGUCAUAGAGACAAACGGGUGAAUUUUUUCUGACUUCACCUGGCUGGCUGGAGAACCAUAGGCCAAGCAGGGCUGUGUAGAUGUGAGCUUUAGUUGAUGCUAGAAGCUGGAUACACAGAGGCUUGUCUUGCUCUGUUCUGGGCCUUAUCUACAACUCAAGGUUCUCCCCAGGAACUAUGUGAAACUUUUUCUCCUCACUUCCUGCAGUCCAAAGCCUGCUCAAGCUUCCCUGUGGCUGCAAUGUACAUUUUAAAUACAUUAACUGUAUCCCUGCGAUUCAACAUUGU